CACAUGGAAAUCUCAUGGCUGAUUGAAAACCUACCAAAGGACACAAUAAAUAAUUAUUCUGUAGGAAAACUCAGCCAGCCAAGCCUGCCCCACCUCACAUGUCUGUCACUCUUGGACAAGGAACAAGAUAGAGAUUCUCAACUGGCUGAAGGAUACACAAGAUGUCUUAUUUGUGUGUCACUUGUUUGUGUUACUAAUGACUCCUGCUGACACCACCCUUGCUUCUUCAGGCAACAAAUGCUGUUUGCAGCACUUGUGAAACCCAUUUAUUUUAACAUGAAAUAAGCUUGUUCCUGACAGAUUGCAGCAAGAAAG
Molecule: long non-coding RNA, 315 nt
Filed under: Homo sapiens (human)
Lineage: Eukaryota; Metazoa; Chordata; Mammalia; Primates; Hominidae
Description: HSALNT0017971
Source: RNAcentral